Molecule: ribosomal RNA, 521 nt
Filed under: Schindleria sp. 8 TK-2007
Lineage: Eukaryota; Metazoa; Chordata; Actinopteri; Gobiiformes; Schindleriidae
Description: partial 16S rRNA
Rfam family: Bacterial large subunit ribosomal RNA
Source: RNAcentral
GGUCCCGCCUGCCCUGUGACAAAUGUUUAACGGCCGCGGUAUUUUGACCGUGCAAAGGUAGCGUAAUAACUUGUCUUUUAAAUAGAGACCUGUAUGAAUGGCAUAACGAGGGUCAACCUGUCUCCUUACUUCAGUCAAUGAAAUUGAUCCCCCCGUGCAGAAGCGGGGCUAGUACCAUAAGACGAGAAGACCCUAUGGAGCUUUUAGACGCCAGGGCACCCCAAGCCAAACCGCCCCCCUUAAAGGAAAAAGCAGAAUGCCCCUGCCCCAGUGUCUUUGGUUGGGGCGACUACGGAGUAAAACACAACCCCCGUGUGGAAAUAAACCACUAUUUUGAACCAAGAGCGUCAGCUCAAAGAGCCAGAAAUUCUGACCACGCAGAUCCGGCAAAGCCGAUCAACGGACUUAGUUACCCUAGGGAUAACAGCGCAAUCCCCCUUUAGAGCCCCUAUCGACAGGGGGGUUUACGACCUCGAUGUUGGAUCAGGACAUCCUAAUGGUGCAGCCGCUAUUAAGGGUUC